This 35-nucleotide transfer RNA is filed under the name Fasciola hepatica (liver fluke). RNAcentral's name for it is "partial tRNA-Asp". The record is from RNAcentral. Lineage: Eukaryota; Metazoa; Platyhelminthes; Trematoda; Plagiorchiida; Fasciolidae.
GUCGUGGCGGUGGGGGAUUUUUUGUACGGGAUGAG